RNAcentral lists this ribosomal RNA (234 nucleotides) under uncultured Leptotrichia sp. RNAcentral describes it as "partial 16S ribosomal RNA". It matches the Rfam family "Bacterial small subunit ribosomal RNA", at positions 124 to 355 of the family's 1533-position model. The record is from RNAcentral. Lineage: Bacteria; Fusobacteriati; Fusobacteriota; Fusobacteriia; Fusobacteriales; Leptotrichiaceae.
CUUAGCCCUUUAGACUGGGAUAACAGAGGGAAACUUACUGAUAAAUACUGGAUAAGUUAGUAUAUCGCAUGAUAUGCAAAUGAAAAGCUACGGCACUAAAGGAGAGCUUUGCGUCCUAUUAGCUAGUUGGUAAGGUAAGAGCUUACCAAGGCGAUGAUAGGUAGCCGGCCUGAGAGGGUGGACGGCCACAAGGGGACUGAGAUACGGCCCUUACUCCUACGGGAGGCAGCAGUA